RNAcentral lists this long non-coding RNA (7955 nucleotides) under Equus caballus (horse). Its description in RNAcentral is "lncRNA (ENSECAG00000053225.1)". Lineage: Eukaryota; Metazoa; Chordata; Mammalia; Perissodactyla; Equidae. The record is from RNAcentral.
GGAGAACCCCCACUUGCGCGGUAACACAAUCACAACCAGAGCUUCAGUUCAGAAAAUAAGACAUCCACUCCCAAUAGAUUUUAAGUUUCGCUGUCUAUCUUGCCAUCUCUUCUCUGAGCCUCUUGGGACUCUGUCAUGAGCAGCCUGGACUCUUGCAGACCUGUGCUUCUGUAUCUCCGUGGACCGAGAACACAAUUGUUAAAAGAUUAAAAUAAUAGCAGCCCUGGCUGAGUGAGCUGAGAAGUUUUGUUCUUAUUUCGACAAAUUGAAAUCUGACAAGAAUGGAUAUGGGAGAAGACAGAGAGCCAGCAAGAUAGAAUGAGUUUGUGAUCGUAAAAGGUUGCCUUUUCUGCCUGCAGGACUUCAACCAGCACUGCUAACCAAGGGCUUAGAAAGAGUUUGAUCUACAGGCAUGGGAUCCCACACAAAAUUUCACUGGACCAAGACACCCAUUAUACAGCAAAGGAGAUUCCCCCAGGAAAAGAAACCAAACAGAAUACUGGAGGAGUUUCUCCUAGAGUUUAUAAUACGAAGGAAGUGGAUCCAAGUGGAGUAAGGAGUUGUCCACAGAGGAUACCAUGGUGUGCCACCCAGAUCCCCCUCCAGCUCUUCGAACUUGUGACUUCAACUUUUCCAACACCGGGCUAUUUUCUCUGGACGCAGGCUUGUACAUUUCAGGAGAAAUGUGCAGACAUAGACCUCAGCAUCCAUGGCCCUGCAUUGGGAUCCCCUUCAGACCAACAAAAACUAGCUUUUAUCUGACUUCAUUAGGAAAGAGUAAACAAACUUGAGGAUAUUUGGAAGUCUUUUCAAGAGUCAGAAAUACUUUAAUAACCCUCCAAACUGCUACUGACAUUUUAAAAUUAGAUUAUGCAAAGAACUUCAUCUCUGGGAUGUGGAAUUACCUACUGCCAAAAAUAACUCAGUGGAGACCUGGAAUCUUUUUCCAAUUCUGAGAGAAGCGACGUUAGUGGGAUUAGUUAACAGACCAGAAUCUGCAUUUUCAGCAAAGACAGCAUAUGUGAUUAAUGGAAUAUUUGGAAACAGACACCGCCUGACUUAGGAUGGCUUAACUUGAGAAGUGCUGUCUUUAUAGGCUUAUCAUAAGCAGCACUUUCAUCAUAACGAACAAACUUUGUAUUGAUGAAUACUUAACAGCUGAAGCUGAUGUGCUUUUAAAUAGACUUAAGUCAAUGUAAAUAGUGAUAAAACAACGUGGUGUGCUGAUUUGAAAGGUGAGAAAACUUCUCAUGAUAUGAAUUCAUGAUUAGCUAAAGAGCAUGCUUCUGAACUAAGCCAUAAAUUCUUAGCUUAUCGAUAAGGCAUUAAUUGUCACUUUUUUUUUAGGUGAGAAAGAUUGGCUCUGAGCUAUCAUCUAUUGCCAAUCUUCCUCUUUUUGGUUGAGGAAGAUUGGUGUUGAGCUAAUCACCAUGCCAAUCUUCCUCUGUUUUGUAUGUGGGAUGCCACCACAGUAUGGCUUGAUGAGUGGUGUGUAGGUCCACGCCUGGGUUUCAAACCUGUGAACCCCGGGCCACCAAAGUGGAACAUGCGAGUCUAACCACUGCACCACUGGGCUGGCUCCUGAUUGUCACUUUUUAAAACUCUUAUGAACAGAGCUGGGGAACCAUCAGGAAAAGGUGGUAAGUGGAGUAAGGGAUGGUUUAAUCAUUCAGAAAGAUAACUGCCGGCAAAUUUCAGAUUUCAGAGAAAGCUGGAAGGGCUGACAUAAAGACAUGGAAGGCUUCUCUGGAGAAGUUCGCUGAAGUCUUGGAAGAUGAAGGCUACUGUUUAAGACGGGUGUUUCAUGUUUUUGAAAAGGGAGCAGGAGAUCACUGUAAGAGAGGUCACCUUUGAAACUCCUCCUUUAGAAUUGACCAUUUGCACUCAUUAACUCAUCAAUGGAAAAUUUUGCCCCAAGUGAACAAAAUAUUGAACAUUUCCAGGGUCCUCGGAGCAAUGAAGAUGGCUGAUUCUGAUGACUAAGAAACUUACCAGGAGAAGAAAGCAUUUUCAGUUCACAUUUCACUGGACUCAUGUUUUCAGGAACCAAACCCUUAGCCUAUGCUCACUUCCACCCCCAGAUAUUUUCAAAUAUAGAUUUAUAUUAUGUGUUUGGUUUUAUAUAUUAAAUAUAUGUUUAUCAAAGACUGUAUCCAAAGUGAGGGGAUUUUCUUUUCAUGAUUAUUUGCAUUUUAAUUACAUGAAAUGGAUUUUCAGGAACAAAACUCCAAUUCAAGAGUCAACUAUGGAACUCUCUUACCUGUCAUCCAGAAACUUUAUUAUAAAUCAUUCGUCAACAAUAUCUGUGUUUCUAAUUCUAGUUUAUCGUUUCUUCUGAGGCACAGAGAAAUGAAAUGAAGAGAUGGGGUUCAGAGUUAUUGAACACUAUGCCUAGAGGAUCUUAUUCAGUCUUUAUGAACACCACUGCCCAGUAGGUAUUAUCAACUAUACUUGUUUAGGUGAGGACUCUGAGGCUCCAGGAGCUUGAGUGAUGGGCCCAGGGUUAUUAAAGUUAGUAAUUGGCAGAACUGAGACUUAAGUGCAAGCUUAUUUUCAUAUGCUGUUAUUGCCAAUAAUCUAUCCUACAAGAAGAUAAAAAUAUGGCAUUAAAUUAUUAAUUUUAAAGUAACCAUUGUGACAUUUACUUCUUUUUAUCCCAAAAUAUGCCUCGCUCAGUGGUGGGCACACAGUAGUGUCCAACAGCGGUAGGUCAAGAAACGGACACAGGAUGCUAUUUGGAACUGAGCACCCAGGCUCCGGAUCCGAAACCCGGGCUCAGUUCCUGGAUUCACCGUUAUCCGAAUAUGUACCCUGUGGCAAGUCAGUUUCCUCGUAUGGUAAAAUGGGGAUAAGAAUAUCCAUCUUUUAGGGUGGAUGUGAGGAUUAAUUGGGUUGAUGCUAGUAAGUCACUUAGAGUAGUGUCUGGUACAUCAUAAGUUCUCAGCGAGUAUUAGACAGAUUCUACCACAUUGUAACUGUGUGAACUUGGGCGUGCCUCAGUUUCCUCAUCUGUAAAAUAUGGCAAAAUAAUUUAUCGUGCAUGGCGAUUUUAUUUGGCAAGCAUGUACUUUUAUAGUCUUUGCUCUGUGCUCUGCCCUGUGCAGGUAUUAACUCUAACUUUCAUAGGAGCCUAAUGAGGCAGAUACCAUUCCUAUCCUCAUUUACAGAUGAAGCAACUGAGGAACUGGGAGGUUAAAUAUUUCUUUCAAGGUAACACAACUGGUAAUUAACUGAGUUGAGAUUCAAACCUAGACACUCUAGCUCCGGAGUCUGAGUUUGUACUGAUUACUCUGUGCUACGGAUGCAGUGAAACAAUAUUUGUAAAGCAUCUGUCGAAUUCCUGACACAUAGCAGAAGCUUAGUAGAUGUCAGCUCCUCUCCCAUCUUCUCAUUAAAUAUCUUUAGAAAUUCUCAUGGAAUGCAAAAUGAUAUGAAUUUAUCAGCUGGCCUACGUGUUUUCCUAAAAUAUCCAAGUUUGUGUAAUAGCAGCAUCCCUGAGUUCUUUAGGGGUGCCCAGAAAUAUGCGAACAUACCUCUCUCUGAUUAGGCCCAUCUCGGAUCAUCUUUUCUGUUGACACGUUGGAGUUCCCGGAAGCCAGACAUCAGGAUGCACUGCGGUGUGUGCCGUGAUACCCUGUAGAGCAGCUGUCAGGGAUGACAGUCUGGAGCAGAACAGCUGGAGGGCAGAGCUGAUGCUUCUAAUGACUGAGAACAAGUAAUGGAGAUGAGGCAGCCAAAGGAGUGGUGUCUGACUGCGGCGCGCACCACCCCAUGCUGUUGUGCAGAGCUCCUUGAUGAGGACGCUGUAAGAAUUCUAGAUGGGACAAUUCUGUGCUGUGCGGGACUGUCCUGAUAGAAUCAAUCUGAGUUAUUUCAUACAUUGUAGGAUUUGUAGCAUCCUUGACUCCCAGAUACUGAAUGCUAGUAACUCCACCUAGCAACAACUAAAAAUCAAAACCGGAAUAUGUUGCCCGGGGGUAAGAGAUGGUGUUAUCACCUCUAUUGAAAACUGCUCCCUGUCUGGCCUUUGGGGUUUACCUGGGAUUAUGAGCAGACGGCUUCAUUAUCUAUUGCCUUCUGCUCAAAAUCAGGGGGCAGCCAGGAACACCUAGCAUCAGUGCCACCUGGGAGCUGAUUACAAAUGCAGAAUCUUAGGUCCCAUCCCCAACCUCUGGAUCAGCAUCUGCAUUUUAACAAGAUCCCCAGUGAUUUGCACACAGAUUAUGGUUUGAGAAACAUUGUCUUACUAGAUGGAACAUGGACUUUGGAGUAAGAAGAUCCAGGGUUGAAAUUGAGACUCUGCCUCUUACUAGCUGUGUGACCAUGGGAAGAUCACUUAACCUUUCUGAGCCUCAGUUUCUUCAUCUCUAAAAAGAUUUUAAUACUUUCCCCAUGCUGUAGGCAUACAAUAAGCACUCAAUAAAUAUCAUUUCCCUUCUCCCCGAUCCCUUCCACCAGGGAACACAGUCAGGAAAACCAGUUUAGUUCUUUGGUGAUCAUUAGUGAAUUAUUAUCAUAGGAUAUUGUGGCAAGAUGAAGAGAAGAUGAUGUUCAUUCUCUCCCUCUGUCUCCUCUUUCCUCACUCUGCUGCGUUCUUCCAUAGUUAUAGACACAGUACUUAUCAAGUUCUAGCCAGGGCAUCGCUGGGCCAUGACAAACACUGGAAGAGUGGGCUGGUUGGGUGUGACCAGGAAUGGGAGAGUACAGCUCUCCCGGUUCAAACAGGUUAGUUCAGUGGAACAAAUUACAUUUCCAAGGUAAGAUUUGGGACUGCCGGCAAAGGCUGGACUGGAAGGGAAGAGUCUAGAGGUCACGAUCAGGUCCAGGGAGUUGAUUGGGCAGAGGGUGGGGGAAUAGGAUCAGAGAGAUGUCUGGGACCAAGGAAGAUGGAAAUAAGCCUGUCAGGACACUUUCAGAUGCUUUCUCUACAUCCUCUUCUGUGCUCCCAGUGUGCCCUGCACGUGACUCCACCAGGGUACCCAUCACUCUGGACGGAAACACAGAUCUGACUUUUUUAUUAUUAGAUUGAAAGGAUUUUGAGGAUGAAUAUUAUCUUACAGAUUGUCUCCUGUUUCACUUGUUUAUAUAUCUAGGAUGUAUAAACGGGUACUGUCUGCAAUGAUGAAAGAGUGAACAAAGUUGUGCCUCCAGUGCUACAAUCCCAUCGCAGUGCAUUCCUUACAGGAACCCACGGGGCCUUUAACAGAGCCAACAGUGAGGCGCUCCCUGAGCAAACGCAUCCUCGUUGGUCUCCAAUCCUACAAGCCUCUGUCAGGGAGCAGCCUGGGUGUCCCACUGCCCCUCUCUUCUCACUGCUAGUGUCCUAUGCAUAGAGAAGGAACCCACGGGAAAGGACGGAGAGUUGGCAGAAUCUCUACCCACCAGGUCUCCUUUGCUCACGGUUUUGACUGUGGUUGGAUUGAGAGCCUGUUACUUUGCAGGGAACCAGCUGCCUCAGUUUCCAGGAGCUCAGAGAGGCUAGGAAAGAUUGAUUGUGCCUUUCUUUACUGGAGAGCUACCUGCUGGCCCCAUGGGAUGGCUCAGGAAGUCAGUCCCGAAGAAGUUAGCUCAGGGAUUUACCUGGACUCUGAUGGGAGGGUGGAAACCGGCCUACGGGAGACAGGCAUAAAAUGCAGCCUCUCCACUCUGGAGAUGAGGCCAUGCCCCCGAGUAGAGCUGCUUAAUGAGCUUGGCUGCUUUCCAGAAAUGGAUGUUCAGGAGGAGAGGGCACAACCCCUCCAUCAGGCCCGGGCCUCAGGACCUGAGAUUAGUUGCCACUGAGGAUUACUCAUCCUGUGACAGUUAAAUGUGUUUGAUUUCAUUGCAGAUCAGCUCCACAGCUUAUUAUCAUGCUCAGCAAAACUGUCUGCGGCCCGGAAUUUCCUCACGGGAGGGGAAGGAUGGGGGACUUGCUGGGUGUGGAGGGAGGAAUGGCCUGUGGACCUUCUAUGUUGAAAGUGGAUAAAUCAAAGGAAACCUGGCUCUUACUCUCUCCCACUCUUCCUAGCAGAUCUUUUGUCUAAUUCUGGCUUUCUGAAGAAUGCAUCGUUCUCCUCAGAAGACCCCAAGCAGAGAUGGGCAGAGAUGGGAGGCAUUGGGGGGUGGAUGAGGGUGGGGAGAGACCCAGGGCUCCACCUGAAGCAAGCUAAGUGCUGAGAAUGGUUUUGAGCCCCUUCUCUACACUCACCCGGCACACUUUUCUAUUUCUCUUUGCGGGGGGCUGGAGGGAUGGGCAGGACAGAGGAAAGAGCAAUGAAAGUAGGGAGUCUUUGCCACUUUAUUUACAAUGUGAGCUGUUUCCUCUCUCUUUUUCUUUUGUUCAUUUCUUUGCUCUUUUUAAAUUUUUCAAAUGGUAGAAACAGUAUCCAGCUCAGUAGCUCCCUUUCUCUUUUCCAGUCCCCAAAUUUUACUCACAUUUUGAAGGAAGGUUUGAGUCAUGCUGCCAUGUAAAGAACAUGGCCAGGUGAGAUGUUGACUGAGGACGAAGAGAACAUGCAACGGCUGGUGGAAGAAGAAAGUUAUAAAUACCAACAUGGGCACGUGACUAAUUGCAGAAAGGAAGUCUUCAUAACUACGCACAAUCUCUUCUUUGCUUUGAGAUAUAUAUAUAUAUAUAUAUAUAUAUAUUAAUCAGCUCUUUUUCUCUCCUUCCUCAUUCCCCCUCUAGCCAAUAUAAAGUGUUAGCCCUAGAAUUUGGCAUUUAGGUCAUAGGAUAUCAAAGGAAGAUUGCAUCUGAACUAAGAAAGAAGUGAACAUUCCCAGAGAUAAAGCAACUAUGGGAUACUGUGUGUUUCUUUUAGGGGGUAAGGGGGCAUCUUCAGUUGUGUAAGGGACAGUCACAUCAUGUCAGGAAUAAUGUGAUGUUGUUACUGUCCUUUUUGGGAAGUUCUAAUCUGGGGUAAGAAGCGUGGACUGUGCUCAUUUGUUUAUUUUCAGCUCAGCAUCCCUCCACCCUUUUCUAAGAUCUCCUUUUCAACACGGAGGGGAAGCCAGGAACCGCGUCUCUUGCAGGAGGGGAAGCCAGGAACCGCGUCUCUUGCAGUUCCCUUUCCUGUAUGGCUCUGGCUAGAGCUUGUUCACGAGAGGUUCUUGGGCGAGAUCUGCACAAUGGAGAAAAGGCAAAGCCAUUCUCGAAAACUGUCUCCGUCAGGGAUGGAGGCAGCUGUGGCUUCCCAGUGAGCUCUCGAGGACCCCCGCCUCACUGCCGCAGCCCGAGAGGGUGGCAGCUUCCCAGAGACCCAAGAAUCUCAGCACUUACCUGCUGGUGGCUCCUCUAACCUUUAUUCUUGCCGUUGUUACAAUGUUUGUAAGACAGUAAUAAAUGGAGAAGUGCUUUCUGUUUUCCCCGUUCAGGCUGUGUUCUGGCACUGGGGCUGGGGGUGGGCAUUUGUCUCACACCACUUGACAACACCUGGCUUCUGAUUGAUUUGAACUUUUCAACACUCUGCCUGGCAACGUUUGCUGUGAAUUCUGUCCAAGUGCCAAGGCAGACGUGGCUAGUGAGAGAACAAGACAGUGGUCUGGACUGCCUCACCACCGCUGUUGUGUGGAUCUGGUGACAAGGGAAAGGUCAGCCUGGAGUCCCCUGCUGUUGAGUUGAUGGCUGUCAGGUGGGUGACCUUGGCUGGAAGUGUCAGAAUCUAGAUAGAGGCAGCUCAGAGCCUACCAGGCUGGCUGCCCUAAGGGCGGGCCCCUUUGGCCACUCCAGAAACCUUCCUUCAGGGAGGGACCUUGCUUCUGCGGUGGGUACCCAGCCUUGGCCUCAGGUUGUCCCACACUGAGUUCAGACAGGGAUGGGCCUGAGUGCGCGAGCCAUGAGCCUCUGGCACAGAGUGAGGGCUCUGUGGUCAAGAGCACGGACUCUGGAGGCUGAUGUUGGCCUUUGAAUUCUGCCCCACCACUUACUAGCUGUGUGACCUUUGGCAAAUUUCUACACCUGUGACCCUUAGUUUUCU